GGGGCUGUUGGUGAGCUGUUGUACGUGUCAGUGCGUACACUGAAAUGGCAGAAGACCAUAUUGCAUGGGAUCAGGGCCAGUUCAGGUGUUCAAUCUGCCUGAAUCUACUGAAGGAUCCAGUGGCCAUUCCCUGUGGACACAGUUACUGUAUACGCUGUAUUACAGACUACUGGGAUCAUGAAGAUCAGAGGAGAGUCUACAGCUGCCCUCGGUGCAGACAGACCUUCACUCCAAGACCUGUUUUAGGUAAAAACGCCAUGCUGGCUGAAGUGUUAGAGAAACUGAAGAAGACAAAACUCAAAGCUGCUCUACCUACUGAAUGUUAUGAUGGACCUGAAAAUGUGGAGUGUGAUGUCUGUACUGGGAGAAAACACAAAGCUGUCAAGUCCUGUCUGGUGUGUCUGAACUCUUACUGUCAAAAUCAUCUUGAACAACAUGAGAACUUCUUCAAAAAUAAGAGACACAAUCUAAUGGAUGCCUCUAGACGGCUGCAGGAGAUGAUCUGCCCUCAACAUGAUAAACUGCUGGACAGUUUUUGUUAUACUGAUCAACAAUGUAUUUGUUAUGCAUGUACAAUGGAUCAACACAAAAACCAUAAGACUGUUCCAGCUGCAGCAGAGAGAACUAAGAAACAGGCACAUUUGGAGGAGACACAGAAAAAGUUCCGGCAGACAAUCCAGGAAAGACAGAAGGAGCUUCAGGAGCUGAGAGAGACUGUGGAGUCUCACAAGCGCUCUGCACAGGAAGCGGUGAAGGAGAGUGAGAGGAUCUUUACUGAGCUGAUCAGAUCCUUCAAGAGAAGCCGGUCUGAGGUUACAAAGCUGAUCAGAGAUCAGGAAAAGGCUGCAGUGGGUCGAGCUGAAGGACUCUUGGAGCGACUGGAGCAGGAGAUUGCUGAUCUGAGGAGGAGAGAUGCUAAACUGGAGGAGCUUUUACACACAGAGGAUCACGUCUAUUUCCUCCAGAGUUACCAGUCUGUCUCUGUCACUCGCAGAUUUACAAACUCAUCCAACAUUAUUAUCAGUUCUCCUCUCUCCUUUGAUGAUGUAAGAAAAUCUGUCUCUCAUCUCAAAGAGCAGAUAGAAAAGAUAACUGGGAAAGUAACACGCAUCAAGAUGAUUCCCAAUAUUGACCACAAAACCAGGCAGGCAUUCCUCCAACUUUGCUCGUUCCUGUUGUGUGUCCUCAACCUGGCAACACGCGUGAGCUUCGAAUCUGGGGAGGAGGGGGCGGGGGAGACAACUUUCUCCACAACAGAACAGAAUUUGGUAACAUGUACAUUUUGCAGUCAUUUUCAUAAAUAUUUUUUUCAGGAUUACUGUUCCAUUUUGUAUGUUUUAAUGACUUAUUUUACAAUUUGUGUAUUUCCCUUUUUCAUCUGGCUUAUGUCUUGGAUAGAGCCAAAGAUCCAAAUGAGAAUUUACUUCAACUGAGCCCAACCUAAACAUUAAUCAGAAGUGACUUUUGGUCUUUGGCCUUUGAUGAGUUGUAAUUGUCCGUUUCAAUGCAUUACUCAGCUGUUCACAUAGGGUUGAUGUAAAUGUAUCAGCAGUAAUAUCCUUCCAUAUCUUUCCAUUUCAAACAGAUUUCUAAUCAGUGUUUCCAACUCAUAGCUGCACUUGCAGCUUCACAGUUAUGUGGUGGUGACCUGGCUGCCACCAUUUGACAACAAUCCUCUGCCAGCUUUACCUGUUAGUAUCCUUUAAAAUAUGUGGUGAACACAAAAUACAAUGAUUUGCUAGCUGAAUAUUUUGUGCAGUACACAGGGAAUGAAUCACAAUAACUAUGGUUCACCAUGAUUCUCAUCCCAACUCACAGGAUGAUGCUGCAACCAAGGACUUUAUUUUACUCCCUUCAUGGGAGUUGAGGUACUGGAUUUUAUGUGUAAGUUACCUAUUUUUCCAUAUGUUGAUGUAAUGUAUAGAAUUGGGGUAUGAAUUUAUGUCAUUGUAUUUUUCCCCCAUUGCAGUUUUUUCCUUCUAGCCAGCCAUGCACCUUGUACAAUGUCCCUUGUAAUGGAAUGUCCCUUUCUUUUGUAAACUUGUUGUUUUACAGAUCCUGAAGCCAAAAAUAAAGGGAAAUUUAAUUUCUAGACUCCAUGAACCCUGUAAACUUUGGGCAUGGGAGCUACAUUAAGACUUUCAGGUUUUGCUUUCAGGAUAGCAAGUUCCGGUAUUUCCAGUUCUACUGUUCUGCGUUCAUACAAAUAAUACGCAUGUGUUUAUAGUUCAUACUAACACAAAACUCUGUCUGCACCAUUAUGUAAACGACUUGUUUUACCCUGUGAUAAUAAUUGUCUUUAUUCAUUUUUAAAUGAACAGCUUACAAUUUAAUGUUUUUUACAGGUGUGAAAAGAGACGGAAUAGUACUUUCGCUUGACUCCAAGAACCCAUGUGGUUUGGAGAUUGCUGUUAUCUUAAUGUUUUCAGGUUUUGCAUGGUUCUGUUCAGUUUAAUAUUGAGGGCAAUCUCCAGGUUUUUUUAUAUAUAGGUUUGUUAUCAUUCUUGUCUUUUGACCUGAAACACCUGGCUGUGCACUCAUGCCAGUGCCAUUAAUUGAUAAAUUCACUGAUAAGACAUAAAAGCCAGCUACACACUUCGGUCUUGGAUAACGAGUUUACCCAUUUUGACAUCUAUGGCAGCCGUUUGAGACCAUACUUUUACGUUUCAGCGAGUUCUGGUUAAUGUUUCCAGAGUUGGUAUUUUUACUAUUUUGUCAUAUAGUAAAACCAAACCACUGGCUGUAGCGAAGAGGGGUAGUUCUGUUUUACACCCCAAUUAUUGUUAUAUAUAUAUAUGGAGUAAUCCAGGGCUAAGUGUGCAUUAAAUUAUUUUAAUGCACGACAUGGAGGUGAAGAACCACCCGAAGUGAAGCCCACAGAUGUAAAAACAGGAGUGUUUAAUUCACACCUAGGCGUGGAUUACCCCGCUUAUUCCAUGGUCUUGCCACAAUUAAUAAAGUUAAAGCUGUCAUUGAUUUUGGGAAGACACUGUCAGUGUCUGUCUAUGUCUAUGCAAACUGACUGGAAUUACCUGUGCAGUAAACUGCUUUAAUGCACACCACCUUCCAGCGAAUCAGAAUAAAGUAUUGAGACUGACCAUGGUAUAAUACAAUAUGAUCAACUCAACUUUGUUUUCUGCAUACAUGUGACCGCUCCAGAAGAUAUAUUGUUGUAUAAUAAUUAAAUGUGCUGUGUUAUUGUUUUAUUAUAGAAUCUUGGCAAAUCAAGCCUUUAGACUAUGUCCUUACUGAGAGACUGUGAGGUACAGCUUUUAACUUAUUUGCAUGUAAACCAUUAUUAUCAUCAGUGGACUGUCAUCAUAUAAUACAUUCAGAGUACACUAUAUACUGUAUGUACAAUAUGGUCUUAUUCCACUCUUAAUUAACAGGUUGCACCACUUAAGCUUGGAGGGAAUGACUGUGUGAUAUUCAUGUUGAUGGUAAAUGGUCAUAUAAUUGCUAUACCAUUGUCUCUGUGUGUGCUAAACACUGCAUUUGUUUGUCACGGUUUUUAAAUCCUAUGUCUCUUCCUUGUCUCGUGCUUUGUUUAUUACUUGUGUGUGUGUGCGUGGAUGUGUGGGCGUGACGACUCGUUACCGUGAUCAGCGCUCAGCCGCAAUCACUCCUCUUCACCAGCUGUUACUCAUUUCAAUUCCCUUUAAAUACUCACCACUUUCUCAUCUCGUCAGAUCGUUUGUUUGUGAUGUCCGGUUGUGUUGAUCCCUCUGAGUUCCAGUCCAGUUCCCUCGUUGUCCCUGUUUCGUGUUCAGUUGGCUCUUACCCGGAUUCGUCGUGUUUGUUCAGCACUCCUCAUCACUCUUCUCACCCCAUUCAUCUGACCAUUGGAGCCCCUGCGUUACUAAACCUUCACCCCGGACUUUUCCCCAAUCUUCACAUUUUGUCUGUCAAUAAACUUAUUGUCACUUGCAACUUGCUUCCUAGCUUCAUUCGUGACAUUGUUAAUAUAACAUCAGGGUUUUGAUAUCCAUUAUGUGCAUUCCCAGUAUGCAAGUCAUUUGUAAUAAAAAAAAAAAAGCCAACAGUCAGUCACCAAACAAAUUAUCCAACCGGAUCUAAACAUUAAGGAGGUCACCCCAUCUGUGCCAGACGUCAUGGAGGUCACCCCAACUACAAGAAUCCAUGUAUGCACAGGGAAUGUUUAUGUAUUGUUUGACUAUUGUUUGUUUAUGUAUUUACCUUUCCUGUUUCAUAAAAGUGUUUGAGCAGCACUUGACUAAUGACAUUAUUAUUGAAAUGUCUUAUCUUUUUGCACAAAGGUCUCGGUGGUGAUGAAACCGAUUCUGCUCGCCUGUGACUGGGAGGAGGAGAACAGAACCCACUUGUAUGAUGCCAUGUUGGCCAUAACAAUGCGAGACCUGUUUAUUGACACCAUUUUCUAUGAAGGUGAAAUGGAUGAGGACAAAAAAAAAAAAAAAAGAGUUUUUCUUGAAGGAAAAAUAUGACAAAAGAAAUAUUUGUGUCUUGCCUGCACAACCCUCACUUUUAACAAGCUAACUGAUGGGGUAGAUCUGGGUAAAUAUUGUUUUGUAUUGUCUUGUAGUUUUGGUUUUUUAACCAAUUAAAGUUUUGUGGGGGGAAAAAGUGUUCUUGAAACGUAAUAUACUAAAACUCAAUUUUGUAUCUUAUAUCUUAUUAUACAUUUUUGUUUCUAGAUUGAAGAUUGAUUUUUAUGUUAGCUGUACAUUUUGCUAACAAAGGUUAAUAUAAAUAAAUAAAUACAGCAACACUUGAAGGCAGUGAAGUAUGUGACUAAUAAAUUGUACAUUAUGUAACACUUCCAGUCUACUAAUAAAUGUUCCUGGAAUGGUUGCCUUGCUACUAGUCUCGGAGCACACUUGUCCUCUUGAUUUUGUUCUUUAGUGUGACAUGUGGCUGCAGCCAUGAAACCAUGUGUGGCAGGGUGGAGGGCGGGGCCGGGUCGUGAUCAUACGCACCCGGUCGCAUAUUAGGCUAAUCAAGCCUCUGAGGUUUAAAGGUCGACUGCAGAGU
This is an RNA transcript of Xyrauchen texanus (razorback sucker), 5010 nucleotides long. It is a transcript of the gene named E3 ubiquitin/ISG15 ligase TRIM25-like, with no coding region annotated. The record is from RefSeq and is a predicted model, not a curated record. NCBI's taxonomy places the organism in Eukaryota, Metazoa, Chordata, Actinopteri, Cypriniformes, Catostomidae. The transcript has 7 exons.